Molecule: ribosomal RNA, 555 nt
Filed under: uncultured bacterium
Lineage: Bacteria
Description: partial 16S ribosomal RNA
Rfam family: Bacterial small subunit ribosomal RNA
Source: RNAcentral
UGGGGAAUUUUGGACAAUGGGGGAAACCCUGAUCCAGCCAUCCCGCGUGUGCGAUGAAGGCCUUCGGGUUGUAAAGCACUUUUGGCAGGAAAGAAACGUCGCGGGUUAAUACCCCGCGAAACUGACGGUACCUGCAGAAUAAGCACCGGCUAACUACGUGCCAGCAGCCGCGGUAAUACGUAGGGUGCAAGCGUUAAUCGGAAUUACUGGGCGUAAAGCGUGCGCAGGCGGUUCGGAAAGAAAGAUGUGAAAUCCCAGAGCUUAACUUUGGAACUGCAUUUUUAACUACCGGGCUAGAGUGUGUCAGAGGGAGGUGGAAUUCCGCGUGUAGCAGUGAAAUGCGUAGAUAUGCGGAGGAACACCGAUGGCGAAGGCAGCCUCCUGGGAUAACACUGACGCUCAUGCACGAAAGCGUGGGGAGCAAACAGGAUUAGAUACCCUGGUAGUCCACGCCCUAAACGAUGUCAACUGGUUGUUGGGUCUUAAUUGACUCAGUAACGAAGCUAACGCGUGAAGUUGACCGCCUGGGGGAGUACGGCCGCAAGGUUGAAACUC